CUAAGAAUCUUCCGCAAUGGGCGAAAGCCUGACGGAGCGAUGCCGCGUGAUCGAUGAAGGUCGAGAGAUUGUAAAGAUCUUUUACAGCUGAGGAAUAAGUCUAGGAGGGAAUGCCUGGAUGAUGACGUUAAGCUGUGAAUAAGCCCCGGCUAAUUACGUGCCAGCAGCCGCGGUAACACGUAAGGGGCGAGCGUUGUUCGGAAUUAUUGGGCGUAAAGGGCACGCAGGCGGCCUGACAAGUCUGGUGUGAAAUCUCCGGGCUCAACUCGGGAAACGCGCUGGAAACUGUCAAGCUAGAGUAUUAGAGGGGGAGUCGGAAUUCCUAGUGUAGGGGUGAAAUCUGUUGAUAUUAGGAAGAACACCGGUGGCGAAGGCGGACUCCUGGCUGAAUACUGACGCUGAGGUGCGAAAGCAUAGGGAGCAAACAGGAUUAGAUACCCCCGUAGUCC
RNAcentral lists this ribosomal RNA (449 nucleotides) under uncultured bacterium. RNAcentral describes it as "bacterial SSU rRNA". It matches the Rfam family "Bacterial small subunit ribosomal RNA", at positions 355 to 796 of the family's 1533-position model. The record is from RNAcentral.